UACGAAGGGGGCUAGCGUUGCUCGGAAUCACUGGGCGUAAAGCGCACGUAGGCGGCUUUUUAAGUCAGGGGUGAAAUCCUGGAGCUCAACUCCAGAACUGCCUUUGAUACUGAGAAGCUCGAGUCCGGGAGAGGUGAGUGGAACUGCGAGUGUAGAGGUGAAAUUCGUAGAUAUUCGCAAGAACACCAGUGGCGAAGGCGGCUCACUGGCCCGGCACUGACGCUGAGGUGCGAAAGCGUGGGGAGCGAACAGG
RNAcentral lists this ribosomal RNA (253 nucleotides) under uncultured bacterium. Its description in RNAcentral is "partial 16S ribosomal RNA". It matches the Rfam family "Bacterial small subunit ribosomal RNA", at positions 524 to 776 of the family's 1533-position model. The record is from RNAcentral.